Erinaceus europaeus (western European hedgehog) is the source of this 657-nucleotide long non-coding RNA. RefSeq lists it as uncharacterized. Lineage: Eukaryota; Metazoa; Chordata; Mammalia; Eulipotyphla; Erinaceidae. The transcript has 2 exons. The record is from RefSeq and is a predicted model, not a curated record.
GCGCGGGCGCGGGAGCGAGGCGGGCGGGGCGCCCCGAGGCGGCGGGCAUCAGGAGCGGCCCGUAGCGCGGGUCGAAGUGCGGCGCGUAGACCUCGUGCACCGACGCCGGUCGCGGGUAUCCAGGGAGCUGCUACUGACAUCUAUUUAAACCUGGUGUUCUUAACAGAAGCAUAAUAACAUGGAUUGGACAGUCAGCAAGCAUCCCUACCUGCAACCAAACAAGUUGAUCAUCCUUCUCAGUAUCUACAUCUCCCUAGAAUUGUAAGGAAACACUCUCCGAAGAUGUUACAGUGGAGGCCCCAGAAGAUGCCUAAGCAACCCUGUUAUAAACUGAGUUUAAAAAUCAAACUCUACAGGUAAAAGUUACCCAAGUCCAGUUAGAACUUGGCUCCAGAACAGAUACACAAGAUGCAGAAUUAAACAGCAUCAUGAUGGACUAUGAAAAGACCCAAAUCCACUCCAUGCAACCAAGAAUAUAAAGGAAGAACUGUUUCAGUAGAUACAAAGUAAUUCAGUUUAAGGGAGAAUCUUUUAGGUAUAACCAUGUAGAAUAACAUUGUGAUAUACAUCAUCUUAAUAAUAAACCAAGUUGAUACUUGGCCACUAAUAAACUUUAAAAGUCUGUCUCAGUUUUUAAAUAAACAUUUAUUUAUUUAU